Molecule: long non-coding RNA, 671 nt
Filed under: Sus scrofa (pig)
Lineage: Eukaryota; Metazoa; Chordata; Mammalia; Artiodactyla; Suidae
Description: lncRNA (ENSSSCG00035031250.1)
Source: RNAcentral
UAAAAUAUUUAUGUUAAAUUUUCCACUUUAGAUUUGUAAGCCACAGGUUUAAUUUUUAUUUCUCAAAUUUUGUUUACAGAUACUUAAAAUUAAUACCUGCCUGUAUCCGGUGAACAGAAAAGAAUAUAAUUGAUUAACCGAAUUAUCUCUCUAAAAAUUGGUUCCAGGUACAACUUGAAUUGCAAAUCCCAAUCCAAAUUUGGGUACAGAUUCUGCUUAAAACAGCGCUUGUCAACAAAUGCAUUUAAAUUCCCCCCUUUGGAUUUUUUUCAGGUCAGAUAUUUUGAUCGAAAGUGAAAGCAUAUCUGACUUACUCUGCCCUGCUUUUAGCAUCAUGUAGAGUUCCAUGGAAACAAAAGGCACAGGUGAUGAAAUUGUGAUCAACGUUGUGAAAUGGGAUCACAAUUAUUUCUUUAAUCAAAACAAACCUUAUGACAUAGGUGUGGAAAUCAUAUUGCUAUGCUUUCCACCUGCAGUCAUAUUUUGUAAUCAGCACUUUUGGCCAAACACAUGGUGUAAAUUAUAUGGAAAAAUGAGAAGGCCUGUUCUGUCUCAUGCCGUUGCCAGGUAUGUUUCAUAUUUAGACAUAAACAACAGGAGAAAUUCAAAUUUCACAACAGUUGAGUCAUUUCUGCCGCUGUGAAUGCUUGUAGUUUAUUUGUAGUUUCUCG